This 437-nucleotide ribosomal RNA is filed under the name Ehrlichia minasensis. RNAcentral describes it as "bacterial SSU rRNA". It matches the Rfam family "Bacterial small subunit ribosomal RNA", at positions 22 to 482 of the family's 1533-position model. The record is from RNAcentral. Lineage: Bacteria; Pseudomonadati; Pseudomonadota; Alphaproteobacteria; Rickettsiales; Anaplasmataceae.
GUUCAGAACGAACGCUGGCGGCAAGCCUAACACAUGCAAGUCGAACGGACAAUUAUUUAUAGCUUUUGGCUAUAGGCAAUUGUUAGUGGCAGACGGGUGAGUAAUGCGUAGGAAUCUACCUAGUAGUACGGAAUAGCCAUUAGAAAUGAUGGGUAAUACUGUAUAAUCCCCGCGGGGGAAAGAUUUAUCGCUAUUAGAUGAGCCUACGUUAGAUUAGCUAGUUGGUAAGGUAAUGGCUUACCAAGGCUAUGAUCUAUAGCUGGUCUGAGAGGACGAUCAGCCACACUGGAACUGAGAUACGGUCCAGACUCCUACGGGAGGCAGCAGUGGGGAAUAUUGGACAAUGGGCGAAAGCCUGAUCCAGCUAUGCCGCGUGAGUGAAGAAGGCCUUCGGGUUGUAAAACUCUUUCAAUAGGGAAGAUAAUGACGGUACCUAU